Molecule: ribosomal RNA, 279 nt
Filed under: Triticum aestivum (bread wheat)
Lineage: Eukaryota; Viridiplantae; Streptophyta; Magnoliopsida; Poales; Poaceae
Description: partial small subunit ribosomal RNA
Source: RNAcentral
AUGGGGGACCGGAGCAACAUAGGCGGCGGCCUUGGGCUGGUGGCGGCGGUCGCCGUGGUGUCCACCGGCAUCAUCCUGGCCUCAUUCCACCUCCACCGCCGCCUCGGCACCGACCCCAAGACCGACAUCACCGAGCAAGGGCGGCAGAGGAAGAAGAAGGUGCGGUUCGCGGACGAGGUGAUGGUGCCGAAUCCCUUGUCGCUCCUCCGCGAGGAGUACCGCCGUCGGCGGAGGGCCGCCGCCAAUGGCCCCAUCCGGCCGGCGCUGCGUAAGGCCUAG